UACGUAGGGUGCGAGCGUUGUCCGGAAUUAUUGGGCGUAAAGAGCUCGUAGGCGGUUUGUCACGUCUGCUGUGAAAUCCCGAGGCUCAACCUCGGGCCUGCAGUGGGUACGGGCAGACUGGAGUGCGGUAGGGGAGAAUGGAAUUCCUGGUGUAGCGGUGGAAUGCGCAGAUAUCAGGAGGAACACCGAUGGCGAAGGCAGUUCUCUGGGCCGGAACUGACGCUGAGGAGCGAAAGCGUGGGGAGCGAACAGG
Molecule: ribosomal RNA, 253 nt
Filed under: uncultured bacterium
Lineage: Bacteria
Description: partial 16S ribosomal RNA
Rfam family: Bacterial small subunit ribosomal RNA
Source: RNAcentral